This 497-nucleotide ribosomal RNA is filed under the name uncultured bacterium. RNAcentral's name for it is "partial 16S ribosomal RNA". It matches the Rfam family "Bacterial small subunit ribosomal RNA", at positions 28 to 507 of the family's 1533-position model. The record is from RNAcentral.
GAUGAACGCUGGCGGCGUGCCUAAUACAUGCGAGUCGAGCGAACAGACGAGGAGCUUGCUCCUCUGACGUUAGCGGCGGACGGGUGAGUAACACGUGGAUAACCUACCUAUCAGACUGGGAUAACUUCGGGAAACCGGAGCUAAUAACGGAAAAUAUAUUGAACUGCAUGGUUCAAUAGUGAAAGACGGUUUUGAUGUCACUUAUAGCUGGAUCCGCGCCGCAUUAGCUAGUUGGUAAGGUAACGGAUUAACAAGGCAACGAUGGUUACACGACCUGAGAGGGUGAUCGGCCACACUGGAACUGAGACACAGUCCACACUCCUAGGGGAGGCAGCGGUAGGGAAUCUUCCGCAAGGGGCGAGAGCCGAACAGUGCAACGCGGCGGAAGUGAUGAAGGACUUCGGAUCGUAAAACUCUGUUAUUAGGAAAGAACAAAUGUGUAAGUAACUGUGCACGUCUUGACGGUACCUAAUCAGAAAGCCACGGCUAACUACGUG